Molecule: ribosomal RNA, 514 nt
Filed under: uncultured Lactobacillales bacterium
Lineage: Bacteria; Bacillati; Bacillota; Bacilli; Lactobacillales
Description: bacterial SSU rRNA
Rfam family: Bacterial small subunit ribosomal RNA
Source: RNAcentral
UAGAAACCAGUGGCGAGGCGGCUGUCUGGUCUGUAACUGACGCUGAGGAAGGAAGCAUGGGUAGCGAACAGGAUUAGAUACCCUGGAGGGGCGCCAUAAACGAUGAGUGCUAAGUGUUGGAGGGUUUCCGCCCUUCAGUGCUGCAGCUAACGCAUCUCCGCACUACGGCUAGGGGGAGUACGACCGCAAGGUUGAAACUCAAAGGAAUUGACGGGGGCCCGCACAAGCGGUGGAGCAUGUGGUUUAAUUCGAUGCUACGCGAAGAACCUUACCAGGUCUUGACAUCUUCUGCCCACCUUAGAGAUUAGGCGUUCCCUUCGGGGACAGAAAUGACAGGUGGUGCAUGGUUGUCGUCAGCUCGUGUCGUGGAGAUGUUGGGUUAAGUCUUUCUAUCUAGUGCAACCCUUAUUAUUAGUUGCCAGCAUUUAGGUGGCACUCUGGUAGGACUGCCGGUGACAAACCGGAGGAAGUGGGGAUGCGCCAAAUCAUCAUGCCUUUAUUGACCUUGGCUAAA